CAUCGUCACUUAUCACACGAAAACGCUCAUAUCUCCCUCUAUAUUACGUGGUUUGGUCAAACCUUCCACACAAAAAACUCUCACGUAGAUGAGACGCAACUGCCCAUAUAAAAAUUUUGAGACAUUUACCUUCCGACGAUAGGGCUCCCCAUAGGGAAUAAUAACGGUAAAUAGUAGACAUGUUGUGAUUCCGAUAACUAAAAUUUACAAACCAAAAUUCGACCGUCCGAUAUGAUCAUUAUGACGAAAGAUGUCUAUGGUAAAAAAUUCAACUGGAUUCGACAACGUUAAGGGCUCGAUCGAAAUGGUUAACUUUAAUCGGAAAUAAGAAAACUGUAUUUUGAAGCCCUAAACGGACUCGGAUGGCCAAAAAUGCCCAUACAUCAUGGCAUUAGUGAUGAGUUUGACUCGUAGGGCCGUUACGCUUCCGAAAAGGUAUCACAAUAGUCAAUCGGACACCAAAAACCAAAUCUGCAGCAUAGUGAAUAAUAAGGGUAAAUUGCAUUGACCGCAACUAUCGGCACCGAGACUUUACCAGAAUAUAGUGAUUUUUCAACUGUAGACGUAUUUCACCAUUCUGGUCAUAUCUUAUUUCACGACAUUUUUGCAUUUGAAGGUUCUACGUAUAGUUUUUUUUUCCCAGAUGAGUUAUUGUCCAGAUCUGCAAAUAUAAGGCACUUUAGCCAACGAAAUUAAGGCACUUUAGCCGACGAAAUUAUAUUUUUCGUCGGCUAAACUUUUAAAAAUUUCGUCGGCUAAAAUUCACAGACUAUAGCCGAUGAAAUAAAUUAUUCGGAUGACGAAAUUUUAAUUUCGUCGGCUAAAGUUGACCAUAGCCGACGAAAAUUUUUAAUUAGCCGACGAAGGGAAAUUUCAUCGGCUAAAGUCCACUUUAGCGGACGAAAACAUAAUUCGUCGGCUUGGUUUUUUUAUUUUCGUCGGCUAAAGUCCACUUUAGCGGACGAAAAAAUAAUUCGUCGGCUUGGUUUUUUUUUCUGGUAGUGUCUGGAUGUAAUAUGACUAGGGGUUCCUAUGUAUAUACAUAUAUAUAUGUACAUAUAUAUACAGCCCUUCUUGGCUGCGGACGUCCGCACCAACGGUUUUGGUGCGGAUUUCUAUUUUUGUACCACUUUCAGAUCGAAUUUCCUCAUCUCCACCGUCUAGUUUCUAAAUAAUAUUGUGUAGAUCAUCUCUGCAAAAUUUCAGCCAAUUUAGUUAUCGUUAAAGCCCUCAAACUGAGUUUUUCUGGUAUGAACACAACUGGACAGAAUUCAGUCCGUCCAUUUGUUUUUCGAGUUUGAGGGCCUUAACAAUCACCAAAUUGCACUACCAGGACAAGCACUUUAGCCGACGAAAAUUUUUCGUCGCCCUGUCAGCUUAAUUCGUCGGCUAAGAUCUUAGCCGACAACCUUUCGUCGGCUAAGAUUUCGUCGGGAAAAGCUCGUCUGUGGUGACUUUAGCCGACGACACAGGUAUAAGUCGUCGGCUAUAGUCCAGACUUUAGCCGACGAAAUAAUGUCGUCGGCUAUAGUCAAGACUUUAGCCGACGACAUUG
This 1555-nucleotide long non-coding RNA is filed under the name Fragaria vesca (wild strawberry). RNAcentral describes it as "long non-coding RNA (FVES_LNC004215)". Lineage: Eukaryota; Viridiplantae; Streptophyta; Magnoliopsida; Rosales; Rosaceae. The record is from RNAcentral.